UACGGAGGGGGCUAGCGUUGCUCGGAAUCACUGGGCGUAAAGGGUGCGUAGGCGGGUUUUUAAGUCAGGGGUGAAAUCCUGGAGCUCAACUCCAGAACUGCCUUUGAUACUGAAGAUCUUGAGUUCGGGAGAGGUGAGUGGAACUGCGAGUGUAGAGGUGAAAUUCGUAGAUAUUCGCAAGAACACCAGUGGCGAAGGCGGCUCACUGGCCCGAUACUGACGCUGAGGCACGAAAGCGUGGGGAGCAAACAGG
RNAcentral lists this ribosomal RNA (253 nucleotides) under uncultured bacterium. RNAcentral describes it as "partial 16S ribosomal RNA". It matches the Rfam family "Bacterial small subunit ribosomal RNA", at positions 524 to 776 of the family's 1533-position model. The record is from RNAcentral.